Cinara cedri is the source of this 788-nucleotide non-coding RNA. Lineage: Eukaryota; Metazoa; Arthropoda; Insecta; Hemiptera; Aphididae. The record is from the annotation of a GenBank genome assembly.
GUUAAUAGCUAUUAAAAUUCACCCUAUAUUGAAUACCAUUCCCUAAAUUCAGGUUAUAAGCAAUUUUAGUUCAGAAAUUAAAUUUCUUUUUUUUUUAAUUAGAGGUUUCUGUAGUAACAUAGAUAACAAAAAAAUGGAAUCCAUGUAAUGGUGUGGGGGUAUCUAUGAAAAAAUAUAUUUAUUCAUUUUUAAUGUACAAUCUAUUCUAUCUGAACAUUUAUCCAGUUUUGAUUAUGUUGAGUGAGUUUUUUGAGAAGUUUGUCAUUGCUGUUAGUUCAGUGCAAUUAAGUUCAUCAAAAUACCACCAAUUAGACGUACCAACCAGUGGUUGCGAUUUGAGAGGAAUGUGUGGUGGUGAUUAAAUAAAUGCUAAAUGAUAAUAUUUUUUUUUUAUUGUAUGGUUGCUAUUAGUUUCAGAUUAAAUUAAUAGUAUAUUGGUUACUAUUGAAUAAUCAGACAUGUUUUUUGAUUUGUAUUAUUUGUUUUCAAUAAUAUAUUUAGUAAUAAUUGUAAUGAUGACUGAGAUUUGAAUUUGAUGCCAUUGCACUAAUAUUAUAAAUGUUGUCUUUAUAUACUCUAUAGACAAAAAUGUAAAAGGUUGAUUAAAACAUAUUUAUGGUAAUUAAUAACGCACAAGAUAGCAAAUAAAAUCUAUAAAAAACUGUUUGCAUGAAUGUAUAACCAUACAUUACUUACUAGCUGUGGAGCAGGAGAAAUGGUCUUAUCAAUGAUAUCAACUAAUCUACCAUUCCAGUUUAAAUAGCUCAAAUUUCCCGUGAAAAUAUGUU